Phrynosoma platyrhinos (Desert horned lizard) is the source of this 72-nucleotide non-coding RNA. The record is from the annotation of a GenBank genome assembly. Lineage: Eukaryota; Metazoa; Chordata; Lepidosauria; Squamata; Phrynosomatidae.
GCCAGCAUGGCUUAGUGGUUUGAACAUUAGAGUAUGACUCUGGAGAUCAGGGGUCGAUUCCCAGGUCAGCCA